CUGUUUCUCAUUUGAGUCAUUUCUCAUUAGGAUUAGCUUGGUCCUUGGAAGCCUCCUAGCAUCAAAUAUCGAUCUGGCCGCCGCCGCGAGGGAUACCUCUCCUUCGCCACCGCCGACGAGCUCUCCGUCCUCUCCGGCAAGACUCCAUUGCAAGCCUUUGAAGCCUUCUUCGCAAGCUUCCACGAUUUCUUCUCCGAUCUCUUCGGUUCCAUCAUGUCAUCACGGAUUUCAGGAUGUCAUGAUGACCGGACGGGCGAGCUCCGGUACCAAUCGAUCCUGGCGAAGUAUAUUAGAUCGAAGACAGCCGGCUCGCGUCCAAGAUGUUUCGAUGUUUUUGCCUACGAGAAUCUCCCAGAAGAUCGCGCUCGUGGAUGCGUGGCACCCGAACCACGUGCGCCCGGCAGAGCUCACGACCAGGUACCGUGACUACGACCCGAUCGCGGGAAUGUUCACGAAAGAACUCGUGCGGGUGUGGUGCCGGGAAUGGGAUCUGAAGAGGGCCAGGUGGGAGCUUCUUCUUGUUGUUGAUUUCAUGGUUGUUAAUGGUGAUUGAGGGUUUGAAGAGGAAGAGGAUGAGAGUGAGGAUGAAGGAGUUGGUGAUGACUGAUGAGAAUGAAGAGCCAGAGCUCCAUUGUUGCUGCUGUUUUUUCUUCUUCUUGUUGUUGGCAUGGCUUUUCUUUGAUUUAUUUAGAGUUCAUCCCCAUGGUUUUUUCUUCUUGUUGUUGCCUUGUUGGUAUGGCUUUACACUCUGAAUGACUGAAUUGGAAUGUUUAUGUAUGAAUUUUGUUUAAUUCAUCGUGUUGGACCGUUGGUAUUGAUUUUA
Long non-coding RNA from Dioscorea cayenensis subsp. rotundata (Guinea yam), 823 nucleotides. RefSeq lists it as uncharacterized. The transcript has 2 exons. NCBI's taxonomy places the organism in Eukaryota, Viridiplantae, Streptophyta, Magnoliopsida, Dioscoreales, Dioscoreaceae. The record is from RefSeq and is a predicted model, not a curated record.